Molecule: ribosomal RNA, 477 nt
Filed under: uncultured bacterium
Lineage: Bacteria
Description: partial 16S ribosomal RNA
Rfam family: Bacterial small subunit ribosomal RNA
Source: RNAcentral
GAUGAACGCUGGCGGCGUGCCUAACACAUGCAAGUCGAACGGAGUCCAGCCUUUAAGACCUUCGGGUCAAAGAGGGGAAGACUGAGUGGCGGACGGGUGAGUAACACGUGGGCAACCUGGCUCAUAGAGGGGGAUAACAGAGAGAAAUUUCUGCUAAUACCGCAUAAGCACACACUACCGCAUGGCAGAGGGUGAAAAGAGAAUCGCUAUGAGAUGGACCCGCGUCUGAUUAGCCAGUUGGCAGGGUAAGAGCCUACCAAAGCGACGAUCAGUAGCCGAUCUGAGAGGAUGAACGGCCACAUUGGGACUGAGACACGGCCCAAACUCCUACGGGAGGCAGCAGUGGGGGAUAUUGCACAAUGGGGGGAACCCUGAUGCAGCGACGCCGCGUGAGUGAAGAAGUAUUUCGGUAUGUAAAGCUCUAUCAGCAGGGAAGAUAAUGACAGUACCUGAAUAAGAAGCCCCGGCUAACUACGU